AGUGAACGCUGGCGGUAGGCCUAACACAUGCAAGUCGAACGGCAGCACAGUAAGAGCUUGCUCUUACGGGUGGCGAGUGGCGGACGGGUGAGGAAUACAUCGGAAUCUACUUUUUCGUGGGGGAUAACGUAGGGACACUUACGCUAAUACCGCAUACGACCUACGGGUGAAAGCAGGGGAUCUUCGGACCUUGCGCGAUUGAAUGAGCCGAUGUCGGAUUAGCUAGUUGGCGGGGUAAAGGCCCGCCAAGGCGACGAUCCGUAGCUGGUCUGAGAGGAUGAUCAGCCACACUGGAACUGAGACACGGUCCAGACUCCUACGGGAGGCAGCAGUGGGGAAUAUUGGACAAUGGGCGCAAGCCUGAUCCAGCCAUACCGCGUGGGUGAAGAAGGCCUUCGGGUUGUAAAGCCCUUUUGUUGGGAAAGAAAAGCAGCAGGUUAAUACCCCGCUGUUCUGACGGUACCCAAAGAAUAAGCACCGGCUAACUUCGUG
This 492-nucleotide ribosomal RNA is filed under the name uncultured bacterium. RNAcentral describes it as "partial 16S ribosomal RNA". It matches the Rfam family "Bacterial small subunit ribosomal RNA", at positions 29 to 507 of the family's 1533-position model. The record is from RNAcentral.